Eptesicus fuscus (big brown bat) is the source of this 233-nucleotide long non-coding RNA. RefSeq lists it as uncharacterized. Lineage: Eukaryota; Metazoa; Chordata; Mammalia; Chiroptera; Vespertilionidae. The transcript has 3 exons. The record is from RefSeq and is a predicted model, not a curated record.
CUCGCGACGCGUUGCUUUCGCUCGUUCCAGCUUUUGGUGAAGAUGGUGGAGAAGGUAAAUGUUGUACUUGCACCCUCCCGUGACAACUUCAGACUUACAACGAAACUGCAGAACCACCACCGUUGAGAACCACCUGAAGUCUAGCUGAACAGAAGAGAGAGAAAAGCCUGUGUUUACAAGGAGAAAUGCCACAUAUCACAUAUGUGUUUGUGUGAUAAAUUGUAAAAUGAUAG